RNAcentral lists this long non-coding RNA (374 nucleotides) under Pelobates cultripes (western spadefoot toad). Lineage: Eukaryota; Metazoa; Chordata; Amphibia; Anura; Pelobatidae. The record is from RNAcentral.
UAGAUCGUAGUCCUUUGUGACCACAGGAAGCAUGGCUUUUCUGCCCAAAACCAGUUCCACAGAGUCUUCUAUCCUGGAGAUAAUUAGAAGUAAUCCAAUUAUCUCCAAAGACAGAGGCAAAACUCCAUUGAACACAUGGCAGCAAAAAGACAGUAAAAUACAAUAAAAUACACAAGGUUACAUUUAUGACAUAAAAUACAGACAUGCAACAUAUGCCCAGAUAGCUUAGAUCUGAGCGCACAUUAUUACUGAAUGGCGCUCAGAGCACACACAUACAGUUCAAUUGCCAUGGAGCCAAAGUCUUUCCCAUAGUCUUUCAUUAUACGAAUGGGCUCCAUGGCAUAGCUAUCUGGGGUAUCACUGCUCAAACAGGG